AUGGCGGCUUUUCAGUAGUUCUACAGCCUUGCGGGGAAGGGUUUUAGCGAGCUCAACACGGCCCUGGUGACUCUGCUGCCAAGGAAGGAGGGUGCGACAAGUGUAGCGGAUUAUCGGCCAAUUAGCCUCAUUCACUCCAUAGCCAAACUCAUUGCAAAAGUCUUGUCCAUCAGGCUCUCCGGAGUGAUUAACAACAUCAUCUCCCCAGCUCAACGGCAUUUUUAA
RNAcentral lists this ribosomal RNA (225 nucleotides) under Triticum aestivum (bread wheat). RNAcentral's name for it is "partial small subunit ribosomal RNA". The record is from RNAcentral. Lineage: Eukaryota; Viridiplantae; Streptophyta; Magnoliopsida; Poales; Poaceae.